GGGUGAGUAACACGUAUGCAACCUGCCCCUGUCAGGGGGACAACCCGCCGAAAGGCGGGCUAAACCCGCGUACAUGCCACCGGGGCAUCCCGGAGGCAGGAAAGGCUUCGGCCGGACAGGGAUGGGCAUGCGGCGCAUUAGGCAGUAGGCGGGGUAACGGCCCACCUAACCGACGAUGCGUAGGGGUUCUGAGAGGAGGGUCCCCCACACUGGUACUGAGACACGGACCAGACUCCUGCGGGAGGCAGCAGUGAGGAAUAUUGGUCAAUGGUCGGGAGACUGAACCAGCCAAGCCGCGUGAGGGAGGAAGGUACAGAGUAUCGUAAAGCUCUUUUGUCAGGGAACAAAGACUGGGACGCGUCCCCGGAUGAGUGUACCUGAAGAAAAAGCAUCGGCUAACUCCGUGCCAGCAGCCGCGGUAAUACGGAGGAUGCGAGCGUUAUCCGGAUUUAUUGGGUUUAAAGGGUGCGCAGGCGGUCUGUUAAGUCAGCGGUCAAAGCCCGGGGCUCAACCCCGGCCCGCCGUUGAAACUGGCAGUCUCGAGUUGGAGAGAAGUAUGCGGAAUGCGCGGUGUAGCGGUGAAAUGCAUAGAUAUCGCGCAGAACUCCGAUUGCGAAGGCAGCAUGCCGGCUCCACACUGACGCUGAGGCACGAAAGCGUGGGUAUCGAACAGGAUUAGAUACCCUGGUAGUCCACGCAGUAAACGAUG
This 709-nucleotide ribosomal RNA is filed under the name uncultured bacterium. RNAcentral's name for it is "bacterial SSU rRNA". It matches the Rfam family "Bacterial small subunit ribosomal RNA", at positions 104 to 811 of the family's 1533-position model. The record is from RNAcentral.